Long non-coding RNA from Nanorana parkeri, 287 nucleotides. RefSeq lists it as uncharacterized. The transcript is spliced from 3 exons. Lineage: Eukaryota; Metazoa; Chordata; Amphibia; Anura; Dicroglossidae. The record is from RefSeq and is a predicted model, not a curated record.
CGGAUCACCACCAAGGACCUCCUGAUAGACACAUAUGGAGAAGAAGGGGCUCUGGAGGUCACAAUUGAAGUCUUUACACUGAUCGGUCUGAUGGGACCUGCCAAGGACCUCCAGGAUAGGAGAGAACAAACUGCCAAACUGAAGAAGAUGACACAUGGCAUCAGAUUAUCAGACUUCAGAAAGAAAUACAGAGAGUCUGUGGAAAAGAUGUUCCAGCGGAUUCAUGAAUAUAAUUCCCGUAGUGGAGAGGCUGUUAGUCUACAGAAAAGAUACACCAAGUUAUUAAU